Rattus norvegicus (Norway rat) is the source of this 850-nucleotide non-coding RNA. NCBI's taxonomy places the organism in Eukaryota, Metazoa, Chordata, Mammalia, Rodentia, Muridae. The record is from RefSeq and is a predicted model, not a curated record.
GCUGUCCUCACAGAGAUGUGAGGAGCUGUCCAAGGAGCUGUCCUCACAUAUGUGAGGAGCUGUCCUCACAAACUCCAUUACAAGAUGGCACCGGCAUCCGGCAGAACGCACCUAGUAAAAAGGGCAAUACGCAGGUGCCUGGUAACUUCCCUACUCAAAGGGACACGUACGUUUUGGUACGUCAUCUGGCAUAAUUGGCAGCGACCAGUCAGAGAGUGACACGUCCUAGGCGAGGAUAGUUUCCUAUAUAAGGGACGGUUAUUCCUCACUCGGCGUCUCCGCAUUGUAAGCUUAUGCUCUCCCUCUCAAGACGCAUUAAAGCUUUUCUGUAGUAGGAUCCUGUGUGUGCCGCGUCGUUCCUGCUGGCGAGACGUAGCGCGGGACAUCUGGUGCCGAAAACCCGGGAAAGACCUCACCAUCGUCAGCACCUUCGGAGAUCCCUUGGCGACAAGGAGGAUUCAGAACUGCAGGUUGGAAAGUUUAGUCCAAAUUCUCUCAGAAUGGAGUGCUGCUUUUUUGUGAACUGCCUUGGUAUAAAAAUCCAUCAGCAUCCUCUCAGCAUCUACAUUUCCCGUGCCAUGUGUGAUUACAUCAAAAAGAACCUUUCUUCUCUCCUUCUUGAAGCCACAAAGGACAGCCUCAGAAGCACGUGUUCCUUCAUGGAGACCGCACUGCUUUCAUCAUGACGUCUCCUGCAAGUGCUCUAUUGGUUUGUUUCCGGUUGUUAAAGCAGUUUUACUCUUUUUUUAUUUUGUACUCUAUUGGCUUCUUUUUUUAACCAUCUCCCAUUGUAUGUUGAAGGUUUUAUAAAGGAACUUUUAUUGGACUUUCAAUAAAAAGGAUUCUUUAG